CUUAAAGUUCAUAACAGAUAGUUAUUCACGGACUCGGCAAAUCACUUUUUGUAGAAGUGCCGUUAAGAUUGGUGAACUUGAAAAGGAUCCAUUAAUUCAUAACAGGAUGGCGAAAAAUGGAGUCAAGCAAAAUCAAAAGGAGGAAUUUUCCUGUGAGAAACGCAAUCUUGAAGACUUUGCCAAGAUUAGAAACGUAAGAGCCAUAAAAAUGAGUGGAUAAACUGACCGUGCGGAGACUGGGCCCGCAAGAUUUUGGCGUCGUCCAAGGCGGGUGGCGGGUGAAAAAGCCGGGAAAAUGAAUUAGCCCAUUCCAUAACAUGAUCUGGAACCCGGUGUGCUUACUCGGAGAUAAACAACAAAGGUAACGACUUUUUAUAAAUCUGACGCGACGUAGCGAGACAGACGGAUGAAACAAACAAACUUGGAUUCAGUUUCGAUUGACGCCUCACGACGAAAAUUAUCAGCAGCCAGUAACUGACUAGAGUGUUUGAAUGACUUGAUUCAAUAACCAGACAAACUUCUUGGACAGACCUGACAGUAAACGAUCAACAGACACACGCACACUUACUUCUGAGUUAAAGUUAAUGAGACGACGCUACAGAGGACGAAACUGAGGAAACGCAGAUACGUAUAACACUUGUCAUGUAGUUCUGACGCGCACUACGUUUGGUGCAGCAAUUUGCCCGAGCUGUGGGAAUUGGGCAUUCCUGUUUACCACCCUGAAGGAUAUGAUUUUAAACUUGUUUUUGUCUGAAAAAGUUUAAAAAAAUGAUUUUCGCGAUCUAUUCCAGAAUAGGGUGUGACUUUUACCAGGAAGUAAAAGGCAAAAAUUAGUUAAUUGGCGUGACAUACUUUAUAGUGAAUUACCCAGAGAAAGACACAACACCCGCCUUAGUAGUGACACGUGGUAUUGAAAUGAAUCAUAUCCCUUAGCUAGCCAGAAGUAAUUUGCAGUUUUAAAAACCGAGUUGCACACGAUUCCCAACCAGGAGUUCCUGUAUCUUCGGGCAAUUUGCUUAUAAGAUCGUAUAAACUGGGGAACAUUUUGCAGUGUUCACCGGUUUGCAGAGAAAAUGUAUGGUAACUUAUACGUUUCUUUAAUUGAUUAAGUGGUAUGUGUUAUACCAACUACUUACGUUUUAUUGUCCUGUUUGUUUUGUGUUGUGACCUCCGUUUAGAAUAAACUUGUAGUUAAACGUGUGUAUGAAUGUGUUGUGUACUGUAUAAAUGUUUGUGGUUGUUGCUCUGUGUCUAGUGACGUGUGUGUAUGUAUACCUGCCAAACGUGUCCCAAGUUUCUUUCUUUUCGUCAGUUUACCACGCAAUCUUCACCGAGGAAAAUUACCUCGGUUAUAGUUUUAUAUUCUUCCAUCACAUGACGUGCAAUUUUUAUGUGCUUUAUAUCAAUGCCAAUUUAUUUCACAUGGGUCAUUUCACAUAGCUAUAGUGCGCAUUACUUUUGAUAGCUAUUUUCAUCUUAGAAUACUAGCGGGUUAAAGUCCACUUCAGGUCUGUGUUCUCUAUCUCCUCAAACGGUGCUCAUAUUUUUCAUUGUCUUUAAGUUCGGCGUUAAUCUUGUGAUGAUGUUAAAAAUUGCUGUGUAUGUCUUCUAUUAGUGCUCAUGUUUUAUAACUUCCUAUUGUGUCCUGUGGCGUGUCUUGUACCUUGUGGCGGUGUCUAUAGUGUUGCCGGACGUCUCGUACAAGUUUCGUGUUUUUACUGUUUGUGUUUCAUGUUUUUAAUGUCUUUGUGUCCUGUGUCAUUGUUGUCUUAUGUUGAUAAUUAUGUUGUUUUUGUCUUGUGUCAGUGUUUCAUAUUUUUGAUGACUUUGUGUCCUGUGUCAUUGUUGUCUUGUGUCGAUAAUUAUAUUGUUUUUAAGUAUUGUGUCAGUGUUUCAUGUUUUUAAUAUCUGUGUGUCCUGUGUCACUGUUGCGUUGUGUUGAUAAUUAUGUUGUUUUUUA
Molecule: long non-coding RNA, 1960 nt
Filed under: Orbicella faveolata
Lineage: Eukaryota; Metazoa; Cnidaria; Anthozoa; Scleractinia; Merulinidae
Description: uncharacterized LOC110045951
Source: RNAcentral